AUACCAUGAUGAGGACAAGCUCUUGCGUAUCCUUUCAUACGUUCCCAUGCAACAUACAAACUCUCUUCUUCACCUUACUCAAAUCAAGCUUAUCGUUUCUUAUCUU
Molecule: small nucleolar RNA, 106 nt
Organism: Arabis alpina (gray rockcress)
Lineage: Eukaryota; Viridiplantae; Streptophyta; Magnoliopsida; Brassicales; Brassicaceae
Rfam family: Plant small nucleolar RNA R71
About the family: R71 is a member of the C/D box family of snoRNAs containing the C (UGAUGA) and D (CUGA) box motifs.
Source: Rfam